This 478-nucleotide ribosomal RNA is filed under the name uncultured bacterium. Its description in RNAcentral is "partial 16S ribosomal RNA". It matches the Rfam family "Bacterial small subunit ribosomal RNA", at positions 28 to 523 of the family's 1533-position model. The record is from RNAcentral.
GACGAACGCUGGCGGCGUGCUUAACACAUGCAAGUCGAGCGAUGAAGUUCCUUCGGGAAUGGAUUAGCGGCGGACGGGUGAGUAACACGUGGGUAACCUGCCUCAUAGAGGGGAAUAGCCUUCCGAAAGGAAGAUUAAUACCGCAUAAGAUCGUAGUUGCGCAUGAAACAGCAAGUAAAGGAGUAAUCCGCUAUGAGAUGGACCCGCGUCGCAUUAGCUAGUUGGUGAGGUAACGGCUCACCAAGGCGACGAUGCGUAGCCGACCUGAGAGGGUGAUCGGCCACAUUGGGACUGAGACACGGCCCAGACUCCUACGGGAGGCAGCAGUGGGGAAUAUUGCACAAUGGGGGAAACCCUGAUGCAGCAACGCCGCGUGAGUGAUGACGGUCUUCGGAUUGUAAAACUCUGUCUUCAGGGACGAUAAUGACGGUACCUGAGGAGGAAGCCACGGCUAACUACGUGCCAGCCGCCGCCGUAA